This 501-nucleotide ribosomal RNA is filed under the name uncultured bacterium. Its description in RNAcentral is "bacterial SSU rRNA". It matches the Rfam family "Bacterial small subunit ribosomal RNA", at positions 21 to 518 of the family's 1533-position model. The record is from RNAcentral.
GGCUCAGGAUGAACGCUAGCGGCAGGCUAACACAUGCAAGUCGAGGGGCAUCGGGAGUAGCAAUACUGCCGGCGACCGGCGCAAGGGUGCGUAACGCGUGAGCAACAUGCCCGUAUCAGGGGGAUAAUCCAUGGAAACGUGGUCUAAUACCCCAUAGUAAUUAUGUAAGGCAUCUUAUAUAAUUUAAAGCUUUGGUGGAUACGGAUUGGCUCGCGUGACAUUAGCUAGAUGGUAAGGUAACGGCUUACCAUGGCUACGAUGUCUAGGGGUUCUGAGAGGAAGGCCCCCCACACUGGAACUGAGACACGGUCCAGACUCCUACGGGAGGCAGCAGUGAGGAAUAUUGGACAAUGGAUGGAAAUCUGAUCCAGCCAUGCCGCGUGCAGGAAAGACGGCCCUAUGGGUUGUAAACUGCUUUUGUAUGGGAGCAAUAAGGGCUACGCGUAGUCCGAUGAGAGUACCAUACGAAUAAGCACCGGCUAACUCCGUGCCAGCAGCGGC